GUGCUCGCUUCAGCAGCACAUACACUAAAAACUGGACCGAUACGCACGGGAAGAUGAGCACGGCCCCUGCACAAGGAUGACACGCAAAUUCAUGAAGCAUUCCAUACAAAA
Molecule: small nuclear RNA, 111 nt
Organism: Macaca fascicularis (crab-eating macaque)
Lineage: Eukaryota; Metazoa; Chordata; Mammalia; Primates; Cercopithecidae
Source: Ensembl